Molecule: unclassified non-coding RNA, 832 nt
Filed under: Haliotis rufescens (red abalone)
Lineage: Eukaryota; Metazoa; Mollusca; Gastropoda; Lepetellida; Haliotidae
Description: uncharacterized LOC124121623, transcript variant X2
Source: RNAcentral
ACCUCUCCGUCGAAUUUUAUUGACAGCUGACUUGACCAAUCAGCGAGUCGCUCUGACAGUAUGCGCACGCAUACUUUGACUGCAGUCACUUCCUUAGACAAACAAGCUUGUCUAAGUUUGGCUGGCGCGCUUUACGCAAUCGUUCUAUCGGCCAACUUAUCCAGAAAAAAUGGUAAAGAGGUGCAGUCACGGUCUGUGCAAUAGUGAUGACAGGUACCCUGAACGACUAGGAGGCGGUGUCAAGUUCAUACCGUUUCCAAAACCGAAGACUGACUACGAGAAGUGCCUACGGUGGAUAAAACUUUGUGGACGACCGCAUAAUCAGCUCAAUCCGUCAAACAUCAACUGCAAUAGAUAUGUUUGCACAAAGGUACAUUUCCCGUACAUUUAAUCAAUUUUAUAGAUGGAUACGUCAUUAAGUUUUGUUUGGCAGCGAUCAGUUUUCCUAUUACCAUUGGCCAAGUAGUGAAUAUAAAUUACCUGGGUUGGUAAUCGUCGAACAUAUAUAUAUGUAUAUAUACAUAUAGAUCUAUGUAUAUAAAGAUUUCACAAACUUAUUGAAAACUUUUGAAUUCAUUGUGUUUAUAUACAUUAUACAUCGGUUUAUCCACAUAAUAGAGGUUAUUGUGUUAAAUUUGAUUUUCAGCACUUCGUCAACAAUUUUCCAUGUGAGCAACAUCCAGACCCAUUACCUGCCAAUCACUUUGACAAGGCUGGACUGAGUAGGAAGCCCCCUACAAAAAGAAAGCCCACCCAUGAUGGAACUCAGAGGUUUGUGUACACUAUUGGAGCCAACAGAAAAGAUAGCUAAAUCUGACAACCCAUCUUUACC